RNAcentral lists this ribosomal RNA (455 nucleotides) under Porpacithemis trithemoides. RNAcentral's name for it is "partial 16S ribosomal RNA". It matches the Rfam family "Bacterial large subunit ribosomal RNA", at positions 1923 to 2591 of the family's 2925-position model. The record is from RNAcentral. Lineage: Eukaryota; Metazoa; Arthropoda; Insecta; Odonata; Libellulidae.
UUUAACGGCCGCGGUAUACUGACCGUGCAAAGGUAGCAUAAUCAUUAGUCUUUUAAUAGAGGGCUGGAAUGAAAGGUUUAACGAGGGAUUAACUGGCUCAUUUUAUUUGUUUUAAAAAUUAAUUUUUUAGUUAAAAAGCUAAAAUUUUAUUGGAAGACGAGAAGACCCUAUAGAUCUUUAUAUGAAUAUAAUUAGUUAUUUUUAUAUAAAUAUAAUUAUUUGUAUUUUUAUUUUGUUGGGGUGACAAAAAUAUAAAAUUAACUUUUUUAUUUAUAUAACAUUGAUUUAUGAAUGUAUGAUCCAUUAUUAGUGAUUAUUAGACUAAGUUACCUUAGGGAUAACAGCGUAAUCCUCCUCCAGAGUUCAUAUUUACAGGAUGGGCUUGCGACCUCGAUGUUGGAUUAAGAUAAUAAUUAGGUGUAGCUGCUUAAUUUAUAGGUCUGUUCGACCUUUAA